GGGAACUCGCUAAGCAUUUAUGCUUACAGUUGUUGUGUUAUGUGUUUCACUGCAACGCCAAAGUCAUCCUAAGUAGUGGUCUCCAUCACCUCACCUGUAACAACCUGAAAUUGUUCGUCGCCAAAACCCGUUCUACCCGAAAGGUCGCCGUUAUCAAAUUCGUUUCGUUUUCUCUUUGGGUUAAUUAUAUAAACUUAUACGUUGAUUUUAAUUUAAUGAGUGUCUAAAUCACUCAGGAACUCACGUAAUUAGCCUGAAUAUAAUUAUUACAUGAGUUUUAGAAACGUCCCCGCCAGGUGAUGGAAACUCAAUCGGGUGCGACCUAAAGCAUCGUUUAAGGCCGGUAUCGGGUAGAAUUCCACUGUGUCCAAGUUUUAGGAACUAUAUAAACAUGUUUAACCUCUCAUUUGAAGCUUUUUCCUUCUCUCUCUACUCUCUCUCUAACCUCUCUCCUAAAUCCAAAGAUUAAGGGUCCAAAACUCAAUUUUAAGGCCUCAAAUCCUUAAGGUACCUUCCUAGCCUUAAUCUAUAGCAUGUUUGGCUUCCAAAUUUGACAUUUAAUCAUGAAAUAGGACAUCAUAUGUGAGUUUACGGCCCAGGAGGCUGCCUAGGCCGUAAACACCAUUUUGAAGGGUUUUAAGCCCUUAAACUCCUUCCUAAACUCAUUUGGACUUUAGAUAUGGCUAAGGGACUUCAAGAUAUGGACUUAGAACACUUAAAUCAUGGAUUUUGAGUCAUUUGAAGGAGUUUACGGCCAAGGCAUAAGCUUGGGCCGUAAACUCAUUUAAAUGGGGUUUUUCAUGCCCUUAAACCCUUCCAAAUCACUACUAUGGCUUAGAUAUGAAUUAUAGGACAUUGGUUUUAGCAUUUGGACACUUGAAACAUGAUUUUUGGGGGACUUAGAUGAGUUUACGGCCAAGGAUAGUGCUUGGGCCGUAAACUCCCCAAAACUUGGCAUAAAUCCAAUUCUAAGGUGUUAGAAAGCCAUCCAACACCACCAAAAGCCUUGGAAUAAAUCAAGGGACCAACCAAAAAUACUUUAAGGGCCUUAAACACAUCAUUUAUGGGAUUUCUAAGAGUUUACGGCCAAGACCUGUUCUUGGGCCGUAAACUCCAAAAUUUUUGGUGUUAGAAUGCAAACUAAACACCCCUAAGGCCCUUAGAUGAAUUUUAGAAGCCAUUCUAUGCAAGUUUUAGACCUUGAAACACCUUGUAGCAUCAUAUAGUAGAGUUUACGGCCAUGAGAGGGGUCUCAUGGGCCGUAAACUCCAUAAAUCCUUCAUAUGUCCCAUACAAAUUCAUGUUAGACCUUGGAAUAAUUCUAUUAAUCACAUGUGAUUUGUUUUGGAACCAUUUAACACCAUUUUCUUGGAAAAAUAGGAGUUUACGGCCAUGGAGCCAUGCUAGGCCGUAAACUCCCAUAUAAGGGUCUAUUUGAUGCUUUGAAAUCAUUCCAAGUCCUUAAACCAAGUCUAGAAAUUAUCCCCUAAGUGUUUGAAGUCAUUUAGCACCUUAAACCACACCCACCAUGAGUUUACGGCCGUAAACUCAUGGGGAAUGGGUGUUUUAGACCAAAAACUCUUCUAUUAGUUUACUCAUGGGGAGUAAACUCAAGUCCCAAGUCCCUAGUGUCAUUUCACGUCCUUAAACGCCACCCGGGUCCCUCCAAACACUUGUAUCGGAGUGUUUUCGCGACUUGAAGCAAGUGUCCCUAACAAAUAGCUAAUCUAAGUCCUAAUUAGAUACAAAUGUGUAUCUUUAAAUUAUACUUAGGAACCUCGCGCAUUUACAAGCCCCGGACUAAAGUUUAGCAUCCGAAAUCGUCACGUUUCUCGUCCGGUGAGUUCAUACCCCUACCCUUUUUCACUGUUUUUAACUGUUUUCAGGGGGGAAUACAAGCAAAAGUACAAGUGUUUCUUGUACUUAAACUGAUUUACAAUUUAAUGAUUUUAGUUUCUAAAUGUCAUGAUUUCCAAAGAUUAUGAUAACUGAUGUUUCGAAUUGCAGGUUAAUUGUAGAUUUCUUUCGAAAAGUGUUUUAAAUCACAUUAUCUUUUGUAAAAGAAAUCAUACUAAUAAUAACAAAUAUAACUAACAGGAUAGAACGAAUGCGAAUAUGGAUAUAACUAGGUACGAAUACGAAUAACGAAUUCGAAUACUAAUACGAAUACGAAUAACGAAUUUGAAUACUAAUAGGAGUACGAAUACGAGUACUAAUACGAAUACGAAUGUAAUUUAGAACGAAUAUGUCUACGAAUACGAAUAUGUCUACGAACACGGAUAUGUCUAUGAAUACGAAUACGUCUACGAAUACGAAUAUGUCUACGAAUACGAAUACGUCUACAAAUACGAAUACGACUGCGAAUACGAAAUAACGCCUUUGGUUGACACUAAGACUUCAAAUAUACAGUUAAUGUACUCCUUGAGUGUCACCAGAGUUUCGAAUUUAUUACGAAAAUACUCCUUUGGACCUCUACUGAGUUUCGAAUAUAUCCGCCUCAGAAUGUCGACAGAGCUUCGAAAUUACAACUAAGUUAGUAGACUAUAGUCAUCCGAUCGUAGAAUAACUAAGGAAGUAGAAUAUAUAAUUAAUACUACUCACAUAGUAAUUACUAGUAUUUCGAAAUCAGACUUAAGAACAAAACACUACACAUAGGAAAAUAUGGGAUUUUCCUGGGAUAACAUCAAAAUCAGUAACGAACCUAGAUACAAAUAGACAACUCAACAUAUAGGAAAAUAUGGGAUUUUCCUGGGUAACACAACAGCACAUAAUCGAGUAAAGAAACAAACGAAUAACUAUAACUAUAAGGAAAAUAUGGAAUUUCCUGGAAUGUCAUAACUAACCGUUUCCGAAUUUGUAACAAAGGAUAACUAAACUGUUUUUGAAUAAGAAAAUAUGGGAUUUUCUUCAUCAACAACUUUUCUCGAAACGUAAAGGAACUCGUCUUUUCAAAACUAAAUUGCUUAUGAACUCACCAGCUUUAUGCUGAUUUUCAAACUGCUUGUAUUCUCAGGUCAGCGUUAGACAGGUACAUCGCAACCUUUUGGAGAAGAUGGAGCGUUCCGAAGACUCGUCUUUACUUUUGUUUAUAUUACAUAUGUAAAAUACUUGUACAACUCUACUUUCAAACAAAUGUAAACAAUAUUAUGUAAUGUAAUGUUUUGUGAUUACUGUUUUACUAUGUGCAUUGGAUUUGAUACUCAACAUGGAGUCAACCCCGGAAAUGUUUCCGCCUUUGGUUUUCGGGGUGUGACAUCACCCAUCUCAGAUUCAGGAAGCAGACUACACCUCAGGCUCUCAUUUUUUGGGAGCAAAUUACACCUCAGCCUCUCAUUUUCAGGAAACAUACCACACAGAAGACAGUAAAAUAGACAAGUUAUUAGGCAUUGUUACUUAAUUGAAAACCACAAUCG
RNAcentral lists this long non-coding RNA (3413 nucleotides) under Lactuca sativa (garden lettuce). RNAcentral's name for it is "long non-coding RNA (LSAT_LNC001543)". The record is from RNAcentral. Lineage: Eukaryota; Viridiplantae; Streptophyta; Magnoliopsida; Asterales; Asteraceae.